UGUGUAGGCGGUUGCUUAAGUUUGGUGUGAAAUCUCCCGGCUCAACCGGGAGGGUGCGCCGAAUACUGAGUGACUCGAGUGCGGGAGAGGAGAGUGGAAUUCCUGGUGUAGCGGUGAAAUGCGUAGAUAUCAGGAGGAACACCGGUGGUGUAGACGGCUCUCUGGACCGUAACUGACGCUGAGACACGAAAGCGUGGGUAGCAAACAGGAUUAGAUACCCUGGUAGUCCACGCCCUAAACGAUGCAUAUUUGGUGUGGGCCGUUCAGUCGGUCCGUGCCGGAGCUAACGCGUUAAAUAUGCCGCUGGGGAUACAGUCGCAAGGCUGAA
Molecule: ribosomal RNA, 328 nt
Filed under: uncultured bacterium
Lineage: Bacteria
Description: bacterial SSU rRNA
Rfam family: Bacterial small subunit ribosomal RNA
Source: RNAcentral